GCCUGGCGCAGUGGCGCUUGCCUGUAGUCCCAGCUACUCCGGAGGCUGAGGUGGGAGGAUCGCUUGAGCCCAGGCUGUAGUGCACUAUGCCUAUUGGGUGUCUGUACUAAGUUUGGCAUCAAUAUGAUGACCUUCUGAGAGCAGGGCACCACCAGGUUGCCUAAGGAGGGGUGAACCGGCCCAGGUCAGAAAUGGAGCAGGUCAAAACUCCUGUGCUGAUCAGUAGUGGGAUCGUGCCUGUGAAUAGCCACUGCACUCCAGCCUGGGCAACAUAGUGAGACCCUGUCUUU
Molecule: signal recognition particle RNA, 290 nt
Filed under: Saimiri boliviensis boliviensis (Bolivian squirrel monkey)
Lineage: Eukaryota; Metazoa; Chordata; Mammalia; Primates; Cebidae
Description: Metazoan signal recognition particle RNA (ENSSBOG00000001883.1)
Rfam family: Metazoan signal recognition particle RNA
About the family: The signal recognition particle (SRP) is a universally conserved ribonucleoprotein. It is involved in the co-translational targeting of proteins to membranes. The eukaryotic SRP consists of a 300-nucleotide 7S RNA and six proteins: SRPs 72, 68, 54, 19, 14, and 9.
Source: RNAcentral